RNAcentral lists this ribosomal RNA (253 nucleotides) under uncultured bacterium. RNAcentral describes it as "partial 16S ribosomal RNA". It matches the Rfam family "Bacterial small subunit ribosomal RNA", at positions 524 to 776 of the family's 1533-position model. The record is from RNAcentral.
UACGUAGGGCGCAAGCGUUGUCCGGAAUUAUUGGGCGUAAAGCGCGUGUAGGCGGCUCGGUAAGUCUGCUCUGAAAGUCCAAGGCUCAACCUUGGGAUGCGGGUGGAUACUGCCGGGCUCGAGUCCGGAAGAGGCGAGUGGAAUUCCUGGUGUAGCGGUGAAAUGCGCAGAUAUCAGGAGGAACACCAAUGGCGAAGGCAGCUCGCUGGGACGUGACUGACGCUGAGACGCGAAAGCGUGGGGAGCAAACAGG